UACGUAGGGGGCAAGCGUUGUCCGGAAUCAUUGGGCGUAAAGCGCGUGUAGGCGGCUCGGUAAGUCUGCUAUGAAAGUCCAGGGCUCAACCCUGGGAUGCCGGUGGAUACUGUCGGGCUAGAGUACGGAAGAGGCGAGUGGAAUUCCCGGUGUAGCGGUGAAAUGCGCAGAUAUCGGGAGGAACACCAAUUGCGAAGGCAGCUCGCUGGGACGUCACUGACGCUGAGACGCGAAAGCGUGGGGAGCGAACAGG
RNAcentral lists this ribosomal RNA (253 nucleotides) under uncultured bacterium. Its description in RNAcentral is "partial 16S ribosomal RNA". It matches the Rfam family "Bacterial small subunit ribosomal RNA", at positions 524 to 776 of the family's 1533-position model. The record is from RNAcentral.